This 465-nucleotide ribosomal RNA is filed under the name uncultured bacterium. Its description in RNAcentral is "bacterial SSU rRNA". It matches the Rfam family "Bacterial small subunit ribosomal RNA", at positions 338 to 795 of the family's 1533-position model. The record is from RNAcentral.
CCUACGGGUGGCACCAGUGGGGAAUAUUGCACAAUGGGCGCAAGCCUGAUGCAGCCAUGCCGCGUGUGUGAAGAAGGCCUUCGGGUUGUAAAGCACUUUCAGCGGGGAGGAAGGCGAUAAGGUUAAUAACCUUGUCGAUUGACAUUACCCGCAGAAGAAGCACCGGCUAACUCCGUGCCAGCAGCCGCGGUAAUACGGAGGGUGCAAGCGUUAAUCGGGAUUACUGGGCGUAAAGCGCACGCAGGCGGUCUGUCAAGUCGGAUGUGAAAUCCCCGGGCUUAACCUGGGAACUGCAUUCGAAACUGGCAGGCUAGAGUCUUGUAGAGGGGAGUAGAAUUCCAGGUGUAGCGGUGAAAUGCGUAGAGAUCUGGAGGAAUACCGGUGGCGAAGGCGGCCCCCUGGACAAAGACUGACGCUCAGGUGCGAAAGCGUGGGGAGCAAACAGGAUUAGAUACCCGCGUAGUC